Molecule: ribosomal RNA, 259 nt
Filed under: uncultured bacterium
Lineage: Bacteria
Description: partial 16S ribosomal RNA
Rfam family: Bacterial small subunit ribosomal RNA
Source: RNAcentral
UACGUAGGGGGCAAGCGUUGUCCGGAAUCAUUGGGCGUAAAGAGCGUGUAGGCGGCCCGGUAAGUCCGCUGUGAAAGUCCAGGGCUCAACCCUGGGAUGCCGGUGGAUACUGUCGGGCUCGAGUCCGGAAGAGGAGUGUGGAAUUCCUGGUGUAGCGGUGAAAUGCGCAGAUAUCAGGAGGAACACCAAGUGGCGAAGGCAGGCACUCGUCGGGCAAUUAACUGACGCUGAGGCGCGAAAGCGUGGGGAGCAAACAGGA